Molecule: long non-coding RNA, 1337 nt
Filed under: Linum usitatissimum (flax)
Lineage: Eukaryota; Viridiplantae; Streptophyta; Magnoliopsida; Malpighiales; Linaceae
Description: long non-coding RNA (LUSI_LNC005507)
Source: RNAcentral
GAAGGAGGAGCAGUGGCUGAUCCCGAUGGUGUGGGCCCCAGACAGUGCGACCGCGUCGGUCGGGUUGAGGUUCUUGGUGGCGAGGGAGCUCAGGAUGGUUCCCGUAGUGGCAAACGGGGGCGGGAGGUUGGCCAAGGUGGUGUCUUGUGUUACUAACGUUGUACCGUCGCGGCGGCCUAACGCCACUUGGUACUUUGGCCCACCAGACUAUGGAAUAAAAAAAAUACACACAUUAGUUACAUUAAAUUAAACCGGAAAGGAAAUCGAUAAAUUCUAUCUAACCAAAUUCGUUCGACUCGAUUUUACCAGGACGACGGAGUCACGGGCAGCUAUAGCGACAAUGUCGGAGCAAGAGACGACGCGGCCGCACUCCUUGUGGACACGUGCACGGAGGUCGUCGAUGAUUCGGAAGGCUUCUUUCCUCAGGCUCAAGUUAGGUGGGGACCCUUGCUCCGCGCUGGGCCCACCUGCCGAUCCAGUCAGCAACACCGAUCCAUCACAUCCCUGAAAAUAAUUAUAAUAAAUAAAAUAAAAUUAUUUUGAUUUCCCAUACAACAAAAUAUCCAUAGCCAGAUUUCCUUCACCAUCCAUAGAAUUUAUUUCUCCAUAACUUGGUGGUUGUAUGGAACUAUAUGAAUUAUUGAUGUUUCCAUAUCAAAUAAUUAACUAAUUUUAAUGCUCCGAACAUGAAUAACGAAGCACAUACACGAGUGGCCAUCUAAAACGUCCACACGAGUACCAACCAUUUCACAAAAAAUAUUAUUCAAAUUCAAUACAUCUAAUAUAUGAUAUAUUACCUAAUUUAAUUACCAGCUCGACUAUGAAAACUCAAAUUAGAAAAUCCUAAUCAUUCAUUCCACUAAAUUCUUGAUAUGUCACAUUUGAAUAAUAUUUGACACAAUAAUACUAGUAAUAGUACAACAACCCCACAUUUAAUAAUUCUAGCUACAAGAGAGAAAAAAAUUAUAUUUUUGAAUUUUCAACAACCCAGUUAAAAAUAAAAAUCCAUCUACACUAGAAGCUAGUAAUUAUGAGUAAUCAUGGCUCUUAGUCAGCAACAAAUGGCGGAAUCAGGAAUCAUUAUGAGUAAUCAGGGCUCUUAGCCAGCAAAAAAUGGCGAAAUCAAGAGUAGACGAACUUAGAUGACAAGAUUUCCUGAUUCCAAAGUGACGAAAUUUUAUGUGUACCUCGACGAAGCAGUCAUGGAAGUGGAGGCGGAGCAAGCCUGCGGCCUGGCCGAUGUCCUUCUUGAACACUUCCUUGAGGCGCUUAGUGAUGAUGGACUCGAGCUUGGGGCAGGAGGACUUGUAGAAAGUCCACGACAUUCCUUUCGCCGG